Molecule: long non-coding RNA, 1057 nt
Organism: Xiphophorus hellerii (green swordtail)
Lineage: Eukaryota; Metazoa; Chordata; Actinopteri; Cyprinodontiformes; Poeciliidae
Exons: 2
Source: RefSeq, a predicted model, not a curated record
GUUAAACAGCAGUGAUGAAAAACGAAAGCUCACACGGGAAGCUGAAUCAUCUUGAUGUCUGAUCUAAUCUCCUCUCAUUAGAUUUAGUGAUCGGUUGAGGGCUCCCAGGGGCCACAUGCAUGAAGCCAUUGCUUACAUGUAGUUGUCACAUGUUUUAUAGCUGCUUGUUAACAGUCCCUCUGACUGCUGGCCAUCCUUUGACCCUUGCUGAAGCCUUGACGACUGCUGCGGACCACACAGAUUCGUCUGAGCAGUGUAAAUCCCAGAGAGCAGAGCGGCAGCUCCGCGGCCUGCCUGUACACGUCCUGCUGUGGGCUGCUGUCACCACACCUUCAGCUCCCAAACAGCACAAUUAUCCUGCACCCAGUGACAGAGUUCAAGGCAGCUUGAGCUGUUUGGCAUGGCUUUAAUUUGACUUCCACUGAUGAAUCUGUCAACAGCGUCAGUUAGACCGUCUGCGGCAAGAUCCCGACGCAAACACGAGAGGGCCGUUAUAAAUCUCACAAGGUCGCCGUCACCAGGAAACGUGCGACGUCUACAGCAGACGUUUGUGUCAGCGGUGAUUUGUCAGCUAAUAAUGGAUCUCUGCGGCAGGUAAUGGAAAUGAAUGGCAGCAGAGAAUGGAGCGGAGCCUGAAGAGGAAUGCAGAAAGUGAGCUAAACACCUCCCACAGGUCUGCUGGGAGAGCAGGCACACACAUGUGGCCCAACCGACCGGCUCCCAGGACCCGGGAGGAGGCGACACGCCGGCCCAGCAGGGACUCACUGCUUUACGCCUCUAGUCUAGUACAAACCUCAGCUUCAUCCACAGGCAGGAUGUAAUACUUAGAAAUGAUUUACAUUUCUAUAAAGGACAAUUUCAAAACAAAGAGUUUCUAGCUUCUUUGUUUUUCAUCCUUAACAUCCUCUCUGUUUCUGAUAAAGGCACAAAGGUUUGUUUUUCUUCAGAAACCCUCAGUAUCUGUCUCCAUUACGGAUCCAGUUCUAUGUGAUAUAUUUAAAGAAAACUAUCAAAACAAUCACAUCUGUCUUUAGUAAAGAAACAGCUUGUGUGAGUA